This 253-nucleotide ribosomal RNA is filed under the name uncultured bacterium. RNAcentral describes it as "partial 16S ribosomal RNA". It matches the Rfam family "Bacterial small subunit ribosomal RNA", at positions 524 to 776 of the family's 1533-position model. The record is from RNAcentral. RNAcentral also lists the same sequence under 1 other name.
UACGAAGGGGGCUAGCGUUGUUCGGAAUUACUGGGCGUAAAGCGCACGUAGGCGGACAUUUAAGUCAGGGGUGAAAUCCCGCAGCUCAACUGCGGAACUGCCUUUGAUACUGGGUGUCUAGAGUAUGGAAGAGGUAAGUGGAAUUGCGAGUGUAGAGGUGAAAUUCGUAGAUAUUCGCAGGAACACCAGUGGCGAAGGCGGCUUACUGGUCCAUUACUGACGCUGAGGUGCGAAAGCGUGGGGAGCAAACAGG